RNAcentral lists this ribosomal RNA (392 nucleotides) under uncultured bacterium. Its description in RNAcentral is "partial 16S ribosomal RNA". It matches the Rfam family "Bacterial small subunit ribosomal RNA", at positions 523 to 918 of the family's 1533-position model. The record is from RNAcentral.
AUACGGAGGAUCCGAGCGUUAUCCGGAUUUAUUGGGUUUAACGGGUGCGCAGGCGGCCAUUUAAGUCAGCGGUUAAAUCGUGGGGCUCAACCCCAUUCUGCCGUUGAUACUGGGUGGCUUGAUUGCGGUCGAGGUUGGCGGAAUUCGUUGUGUAGAGGUGAAAUGCAUAGAUAUGACGAAGAACACCGAUUGCGUAGGCAGCUGACCAGACCGCAAAUGACGCUCAUGCACGAAAGUGCGGGGAUCGAACAGGAUUAGAUACCCUGGUAGUCCGCACAGUAAACGAUGAAUACUUGUUUUCGGCGAUAUAAUGUCGGAGGCAAAGCGAAAGCGAUAAGUAUUCCACCUGGGGAGUACGCCGGCAACGGUGAAACUCAAAUGAAUUGACGGGG